Molecule: transfer RNA, 72 nt
Filed under: Urocyon cinereoargenteus (gray fox)
Lineage: Eukaryota; Metazoa; Chordata; Mammalia; Carnivora; Canidae
Description: tRNA-Asn
Rfam family: tRNA
About the family: Transfer RNA (tRNA) molecules are approximately 80 nucleotides in length. Their secondary structure includes four short double-helical elements and three loops (D, anti-codon, and T loops).
Source: RNAcentral
UAGAUUGAAGCCAGUUGUUAAGGUAUUUAGCUGUUAACUAAAAUUUCGUGGGAUGGAAGCCCACCAAUCUAG